UACGGGGGGGGCAAGCGUUGUUCGGAAUUACUGGGCGUAAAGGGCUCGUAGGCGGCCAACUAAGUCAGACGUGAAAUCCCUCGGCUUAACCGGGGAACUGCGUCUGAUACUGGAUGGCUUGAAUCCGGGAGAGGGAUGCGGAAUUCCAGGUGUAGCGGUGAAAUGCGUAGAUAUCUGGAGGAACACCGGUGGCGAAGGCGGCAUCCUGGACCGGCAUUGACGCUGAGGCGCGGAAAGCCAGGGAGCAAACGGG
This 253-nucleotide ribosomal RNA is filed under the name uncultured bacterium. RNAcentral's name for it is "partial 16S ribosomal RNA". It matches the Rfam family "Bacterial small subunit ribosomal RNA", at positions 524 to 776 of the family's 1533-position model. The record is from RNAcentral.